ACAGAAAUGUCACUGUUCACAGCUCCCUCCAACCUAUUUGUGUUUGAGGGGAAUGAAUAUAUAUAUAUAUAUAUAUAUAUUCAUUCCCCUCAAACACAAAUAGGUUGGAGGGAGCUGUGAACAGUGACAUAUAUAU
Molecule: non-coding RNA, 136 nt
Organism: Podarcis lilfordi (Lilford's wall lizard)
Lineage: Eukaryota; Metazoa; Chordata; Lepidosauria; Squamata; Lacertidae
Source: the annotation of a GenBank genome assembly